CACACACACACACAGAGUCUGAUUUCUGUCUUCCAACUCUGAAGAUGGAAAUGAAAAUAGCAAAGUAGAGAGGUUGUCCGGGAAAGUUAGCACGGUACUUGGCACACGGUGUCUUGAUUUUGUUCUUGUUGCUGUUAUUGUCGUUGGACCCCAGACCCCAGCAGCUCCUUCCUCCUCCACGCACAGCCUGCUCCUCCCAUCCUCCAUCUCCCUCCUAACGAACCAGACUGAUAAAAAUCUGUGUCCCUAAUGCCUGUGUUUUUUGAAAAAGCUAGAAAGAGCAGCUGGUGUUUUUGCAGUGUGUCUUCCCCUCCCAUAUUUGACCUAGAUGGGACCACUCACUCACUGUAGAGAAAACAUUCCUAUUCCGUGUCAGAAGAAGAAAUGUCAAGUGACUCUACACACAAAGACAAAGCUGUCCCUGGAGAAUGCUGAAGGGGAGGCCAAGGGCUUUGCGGAACAGGUAACGCGAGGCUGCUGUCUCAGCAGAGCUCCCUGAGGUGCAGCCGCAGGCCUGCGCUUCUCCAUGGUACUCAGGUCUGCAGCGCUCCAGCAGGCUACCUACUACCCGUCGGUAGCUACCACACUCAAGGGGAUGUGGGAUAACAGAUCACCAGAGACCUGCCUCGGAGACAGUCCCUGAAAAACAACCCAAUUUACACACAGUCUGCUUUUUAGUUUGCCGUCCUAUGAGUGUUGACAGAUGCAGCCAUGUAACCACCAUCACGGUUUCCCUCUGUGCCCUGGCACUAAUCUCGCCUUCAGCCCUAACCACUGACCACCACUGCUCCCGUUCUCUUCUUGGAGCUUCUCCUUCCAGCUGAAUAAUCUCCCAGCUGAGGAAGAUCUGUGGAGUUUGAGGAGCCAGAGGACAUAAGUUCCAGCUUCAGUGGACAUCUGCUCCUGAGAACAGCUGCCCAUCACACGGCAAGACCCAGAGGCUCCAAAUGCUGGAUUUAGAAGCUUUGGGUCUAGUAUGAAACUCAAGAAUCUGUAUACAUAAAAAAAAACAUGCAGGAACGUUUGACAGGCUAUGGGAAUAUUCUUCACGCACAUGGUAAGAUGGAUAUGGGGGAUCUGUCAAAAUUUAUUUAACUGCCUACCUUAAAAGGGGUGCAACUUAUCGAACAUAAGAUCUACCUCAGGAAGAAGAAAGUGAGCCAACAGGUGUGGUGGUUCACGCUCUCUCUGAUACAGGGGACUCCACAGCUUGUGGCUGCCCAUGGAGCCUCUCCAGGCUCCUGGAACGGGAGGCAGAAUGGGCACACUCUCAUCUGGGUUGAGGCUGAAAUGGUCCAGAGAGCCAGGUAAAGCCAGCAGCUCCCAUAAGGCUCUGGGUGUGAUGCGAACAAAGACAAAGCUGGUGAAGAAUUGUGAUUGAUUGGUCCUGGCCUUGUGCAUCACAGCGGUUCCUGAUCAUCCUUCAGGGAUUUGAUUCCCAGUGCUGCGGAAACUGUAUUACAUUCUUGUAAUAAUAGCACUUGGUGGGGGGGGGGGUGUGUGAAGCAGAAGGAUUAGCAGUUCAGGGUCAUUCUUGGCUACUUAGAGAGUUUAGAUCAGCCUAGAUACAUGACGGCCUGUCUCAAAAACAAACCAAGACACAGCAAUUAAGGGGAAUAACGUUUUAACUUGUAAGGGUGUGGAUGGACCAGUCAGCAGGUUCCUGGGGUUGAGAUGGGGACUACAGUAAGCUGAAGAACAAGCACCUGGGAACGGAGCCUUCUGGACCACACUUUUGCCCUACUGAGGCUCCACACGGUGGUUGAGCCUGAACCUUCUAGGUUGAUGAUACUCUUGUCAUUCCCAGUUAACAGGUAAGGAAAUCAAGAUUCAGAAAGAUUCAGCUAAUGGUUCUAAGUCCCAAAGAAAGGAUGUAGGAGCCUUCACCCCCGCCACACACACACACCCUGAGCCCUAUGUAGCACCACGCCACCUCCCCCAAAAUAAGAGAAGCCACCUGGUAAUCAUGAAAGAUUUUCACAAGAAGGGUGGGUGUGGGUAUAAGCUGUGUCCCUGCCCCCUAGAAGGUAUCCAAGUCCUCCUUGUGUGUGGUUUGAGCGGCUUCCUACGAGAAGGAUCUCAGACCCAGAGGAAGAGGAAUUUGGAGCCUCACAGUGCAAACAGAGGUAGAGGUUCCAGCCGGCAGCACUUGCCUGGAUCUUCUAAGAAUCUCACAGCAGCACCACAUGUCCUCGCCUUAUCCAAGCAACAGAAGGAGGUGGUGGAGGCAGCAGCAGCAGCAGCUACAGCAAAUCUGUCCCCCUUGCUCCGCAGGGCUGUUUUGCUCUCAUGAAACACACAUGGCAGAUGGUUGUGAAGUUACUAUCUUGAGAGCUGAUAGAAAUGAGAUUUUUUUUUUCUUGUGCCAGAUCUCAUUUCCUUUUGAAACAAUUCUUGUAGUAAACAGAGGUUUUUGAUCUUGUUAAGAUCCAAGGAUGGGGAUUCCUUUACAUAUUUUAACUAUGAAUAUUUUCUUGAAGAGUUAUAAUCUGUUGAUGGAGAAUGCUUUUGGGUUGUUGUUUUGUCUGUCUGUCUGUCUGUUUGCUUGUUUGAGACAGGGUUUGUAGCUCAGGCUGACCUGGAACUAUGUAGCCUAGACUGGCCUUAAAUGCUUGGUAGGUAAUUCUCCUGUCUCAGCUUCUAUAAAGCUGUGAUUACAGACUCAGAUCACCAUACAUAUGCACACACACACACACACACACACACGUAUGUUCAUUAUGUGCAUGCAGAAGCCUCAGAGAAUAGAAGAGGGCGUCAGAUUCUCUGGAACUGGAGUUACGGCAGCUGUGAGUUACUGUGUGGACGCUGGCAGCUGAGCACGUUUCUUCAAGAGCGUCCAGUAUUCUUAAACCCUGAGCCACCUCUCCAGCCUAGGGUGUGUUUUUUGUUUUGUUUUGUUGAAAUGGGGUCUCCUCAUGAAGUCAGAGUUGGCCUUCAUAUAUAGUCAAGACUGGCCUUAAACUCUCUAUAUAACCAAGGUUGGCCUUGAACUCCUGAUCCUUCUGCAUUAGCCUCCCACUGUUCUGGGAUUACGGGUAUUCACCAUCAUGCCCAGCUGGUGCUAUUUUGCUGGUGGCCAGGAAAGGAAGAGACACUGCCACUACCAGAGACCAAUUUCGGCUACAAACCACAGUGGAUACGCCCUCCAUAUGUUUACCUGUGGCUACCAUCUCUUGGCAAAUGGGCCAGCGAGAAUGAAAACCUUGCUGAGUGUAGGAGGUCCCAGGCAGAGGCGACAUGGAAGGACCAAGAAGUGGGUAGAUUGUGACUUGCAUGAGAAGAAUUAUUUUGAAUCAAGCCUUGCAUGCUGACAGCGUAAUGAUUAUUAUUAGAGCCUCAGAUAUAACAUGAAGCCCGCCCUAAAGUUAAAUUUUCCUUUUCAGAGAAGUGUGGCCUGCCAGCCCUGUGUAAGACGACGAUACUAUGCCAACCUCCUCCACAACACGGGACUAGAAGGGCUCCAGCUAUUUCCUUCCUGUGCCUUCUCAAAGCCCUUUGCUUCUUGGAUGGGAGCUGGUGAGAUGGCUUGGUGUGUAAAGAAAGUGCUAGCGGUCCUGGCACGGAGACCUGAGUUUGCAUCCCCGUGUAAAGAUGGAUGGAGGAGCACACAUCUGUAGUUCCAGCACGCCUACAGUGAGACAGGAGGCAGCCACGGAGGCUCGUGGGCCAGCUAACCUGGUCUGCAUGGGAGAACGUCUGCAGCCCCAUCUCAAACAAGGUGGAAGAUGAAGACCGACCAUGGAGGACUGCCUCUGACCUCCACAUGGCAAACACACACAAGAGAGAGAGAGAGAGAGAGAGAGAGAGAGAGAGAGAGAGAGAGAGAGAGAGAACAGAAAUCUGAGUGGGACAUGGUAACCCCUGAGAGAGAGGGAGACAGGCAUAGGAAGAUCAACAGUUUGAGGCCACCCUGCUCUACAUCCUGAGUUCCAAGCCAGCUAGGGCUAACCUGUUAAGAACCUGUCUCAAAAAGACCAUAACAAAUCAGAGAGCCUGGCCACACCGAGCCAUGUUCCCCAUGACAAACUGCUACUACUUGAAUAGAGUCGUUGCUUCCUUUCCAUAAAGCUUUUUCCCUGCUUCACGACGGACGCUACCACCCCCUCUCCCCAUCAUCUCCCGCCCACAGGCUAGAAGUAAGUUCAAGCUAAAGGCAGAUAUGGGCCUGUGGAUUUCAGCCUCAGUCCUGCCACUUAAUCUCCAUGUUCCCCUGAACAGAAAUUUGCCUCUCUGUCUUUUGAGACGAGGGUCACAUGUUUCCCAGGCUGGUUUCAGAUUCGGUACUCGUCAGAAUGUCAGAUGAUGGCCUUGAACUCCUGAUCUCUCCACUUCCCCAGUGCUGACUGGCUAAAAUAUUUUCCUUGUUGCUACAUCUCCAGAGCCUGAUAUAACCCCUGACCCAUGGUAGUUAUCAGCAAAUGUAUGAGAUAUGUGAUUCUAAUGCCUCCCUAA
Long non-coding RNA from Alexandromys fortis (reed vole), 4452 nucleotides. RefSeq lists it as uncharacterized. The transcript has 4 exons. The record is from RefSeq and is a predicted model, not a curated record. Lineage: Eukaryota; Metazoa; Chordata; Mammalia; Rodentia; Cricetidae.